This 367-nucleotide RNase P RNA is filed under the name Gammaproteobacteria bacterium. Its description in RNAcentral is "RNase P RNA component class A". It matches the Rfam family "Bacterial RNase P class A". Rfam says of the family: Ribonuclease P (RNase P) is a ubiquitous endoribonuclease, found in archaea, bacteria and eukarya as well as chloroplasts and mitochondria. Its best characterised activity is the generation of mature 5'-ends of tRNAs by cleaving the 5'-leader elements of precursor-tRNAs. The record is from RNAcentral. Lineage: Bacteria; Pseudomonadati; Pseudomonadota; Gammaproteobacteria.
GAAGUCAGCCAGACAGUCGCUCUUUUUCAGUUGGUUUUUCCAGCUGCAAAUUGGGAGGAAAGUCCGGGCUCCACAGGGUAAGGUGCCAGGUAACACCUGGGCGGCGCGAGCCGACGGAAAGUGCAGCAGAAAGUAAACCGCCUAAGCCAGUUCACUGGCCGGUAAGGGUGAAAUGGUGCGGUAAGAGCGCACCGCGCGACUGGUAACAGCUCGUGGCAAGGUAAACCCCACUCGGAGCAAGGCCAAAUAGGGAUCCUACGAUGCUGCUCGCAUUGGAUUCGGGUAGGCCGCUACAAGUCUGCGGUGACGCAGAUUGCAGAUGAAUAAUUGUCCUAGACAGAACCCGGCUUACAGGCUGACUCGCUAA